CACUCCUGCGGGAGGCAGCAGUGGGGAAUAUUGGACAAUGGGCGCAAGCCUGAUCCAGCCAUGCCGCGUGAGUGAUGAAGGCCCUAGGGUUGUAAAGCUCUUUCACCGGUGAAGAUAAUGACGGUAACCGGAGAAGAAGCCCCGGCUAACUUCGUGCCAGCAGCCGCGGUAAUACGAAGGGGGCUAGCGUUGUUCGGAUUUACUGGGCGUAAAGCGCACGUAGGCGGACUAUUAAGUCAGGGGUGAAAUCCCGGGGCUCAACCCCGGAACUGCCUUUGAUACUGGUAGUCUUGAGUUCGAGAGAGGUGAGUGGAAUUCCGAGUGUAGAGGUGAAAUUCGUAGAUAUUCGGAGGAACACCAGUGGCGAAGGCGGCUCACUGGCUCGAUACUGACGCUGAGGUGCGAAAGCGUGGGGAGCAAACAGGAUUAGAAACCCGAGUAGUCCC
This 446-nucleotide ribosomal RNA is filed under the name uncultured organism. Its description in RNAcentral is "partial 16S ribosomal RNA". It matches the Rfam family "Bacterial small subunit ribosomal RNA", at positions 334 to 797 of the family's 1533-position model. The record is from RNAcentral.